UACGGAGGGUGCAAGCGUUAUCCGGAUUUACUGGGUUUAAAGGGUGCGUAGGUGGGUCUGUAAGUCAGUUGUGAAAUCUCCGAGCUUAACUCGGAAACUGCCAUUGAUACUAUAGGUCUUGAAUUAUCUGGAGGUAAGCGGAAUAUGUCAUGUAGCGGUGAAAUGCUUAGAUAUGACAUAGAACACCAAUUGCGAAGGCAGCUUACUACGGAUUGAUUGACACUGAGGCACGAAAGCGUGGGGAUCAAACAGG
RNAcentral lists this ribosomal RNA (253 nucleotides) under uncultured bacterium. Its description in RNAcentral is "partial 16S ribosomal RNA". It matches the Rfam family "Bacterial small subunit ribosomal RNA", at positions 524 to 776 of the family's 1533-position model. The record is from RNAcentral.